This is a long non-coding RNA of Gadus morhua (Atlantic cod), 1363 nucleotides long. RefSeq lists it as uncharacterized. The record is from RefSeq and is a predicted model, not a curated record. The transcript has 2 exons. NCBI's taxonomy places the organism in Eukaryota, Metazoa, Chordata, Actinopteri, Gadiformes, Gadidae.
GCAGUUCUUCCACUCGCUGAUGUUCUCCUUGAUCCACUUCAGCACGGCGGGCUCGGCGUACAGGUUGUCCACAGGAAUAUCAAAGAAGCCCUGGUUUCAGAACACAAGAGCAGAGGGCCACAGGAGUCAGGGAAACUGGAGCACAGUGUCAUGUGGCACAAAGCGCCGUGGUGCAGCCACGCUGAAUACUGUCGUCGACAAGCAUUCAUGUCAAAUAAAGGUUUCAGGUUGCACGACCAGGCUCUGUGCCACCUCCCCACAGAUGCCCUUCUAUAACGUAGUAGGACUGCGCGAUCCAAGACGAGUGCUCACCUGUAUCUGAGAGGCAUGCAAAUCCAUUGUGAUGAUGUGGUCCGCCCCAGACACGGACAACAUGUUGGCCACCAACUUCGCAGAGAUGGGAGCACGGCUCUGCAAUGACAUGGAUAACUUUAGUCACACGAAACAGUCACUAAAUGACAUGCUAUAAACAUAUUAUUUUAUAUGAAAAUAAUACAGCUUCUAUUCUUACAUACAGGCAGAAUUUAAUUCAAACCCAUUUCCUUAUUCUUUAAAUCUUAACAGGUGUCUACCAUCAUUGAAGAUAAUUUCAUAACAUAAAAACACCAUAAAGGCAUGACAAUAAUUCAUAAAGGAAUCGCUCAAUGGCAAAUAUUAACUUUACAAGUUAUCCAUGCACAAGGAGCAAAGCCAAUUUUAACUACAAAGAUUGUUUAGUAAGAUACAUUUGUCUUAACAUAACCCUAGAUAGCCAAGAUGGUACGCAUGGAAAAUGUUAUAGAGAUCCUGUUAGCGUGGCUAGUAGAGUCCAUUUAUAUCAUUGAAUUGACCUUUAACCUUAUCCCAAGGUGUAUGUUGGAAAUCAUUGUAGGGCAGACUUGAGGGCUAGGGAGCCAUUUAUCGAUGUUCCUGUGUUUACUCUCCUGAUAUACAUUUUUUGAGAUAGUCUGCAAUGAGGUACUGGUCAAUAUUCACCAUUUGCAGAUAGCUGACUUACAACAUAAUUCACUUUAAGCAUGCCUUAUAAUGGAUUCAGAUCAGUUAAAACAGCACAAACAACCAACCAAUCAUGGUCAGUUGGGACAAAUGAUCUGUUCGCUUGCAUGGUUCAAUGGUAAAUUGGUAUGAAUGUAUGAUUGUGAUACAGGCCGUGUUUAAUGGUGUGCAGUGGCUUAAUGGCGUGAAAAAAGUAACUAGACAAAUAUCCCUCACCCCCACCUUGUCCUUCUUGUCUUGUCGGGCGUAAGGAAAACAGGGGAUGACGGCUGUGACCCUGGAUGCUGAGGCGAUCUUGCAGGCGUUAAUCAUUAUGAGGAGCUCCAUUAAAUUAUCGUUGAUCUCCCCACAGCCACUCUGUACGAUG